AUGAGAAUGCGUACAGCAUCCGAAUCCGAUGCUGAAAUCCAAACCCUUGGCGCCACCACGUCAUACCCCCCACUCCUCGCCGCCGGCGCCCGGGCCCUCCUACCCUCCGCCUCCGUGCCGCCACCGCCAUGGCGGGAGCAGCCCACCCUCCGGGGCGUCGCCGUCGCGGCGGCGCUGGGCUCGCUGCUCUGCGUGGUGAUCCACCGCCUCAACCUCACCGUCGGGGUCAUCCCGGCCCUCAACGUCGCCUCCGGCCUCCUCGCCUUCUUCCUCACCACCGCCUGGCGGGCCGCCGCCGGGAGGCUAGGGUUCGGCCGCGGGAGCCCGUUCACCAGGCAGGAGAACACCGUCAUCCAGACCUGCGCCAUCGCGUGCGGCGGCCUCGCGUUCAGCGGGUGCUCGGCAUCGUACAUCUUCGCGAUGGAUAGGAAGACGUAUGAGCUCGUCGGGCCUGACUAUCCGGGUAACCGAGUGGAAGACGUCAAAGAUCCCUCGCUUGGUUGGAUGAUCGGUUUCCUGUUCCUCAUUGCUCUCCUCGGGCCAUUUGCUAUUGUCAUGCUACGAAAGGUAUUGGUGGUUGAUUACAAGCUUGCAUUUCCUGGUGGGACAGCUACAGCACUGAUGAUUAAUAGCUUGCAUGGAGAACAAGAAGCUGAUGUUACAGGAAAGAAAGUCCUUUGCCUUGUAAAGUACAUGAGCCUGAGUUUUGCCUGGAGCUUCUUUAAGUGGUUCUUUAGUGGUGUUGGUGACUCUUGUGGUUUUGACAAUUUCCCAACAUUUGGAGCUGCAGCUUUUAAGAACACGUUUUAUUUCAACUUCAAUCCCAGUUAUGUUGGAUAUGGUCUUAUUUCUCCCCAUAUUGUUAACUGCUCAGUUUUUCUCGGGUCAGUCAUAUCAUGGGGUUUUCUUUGGCCAUUUAUCGCUACGCAAUCUGGCGAUUGGUACCCAGAUAACCUUAGUAGCAGUGACUUCAGAGGCCUAUAUGGUUACAAGGUUUUUGUAGCCAUUUCCAUCAUACUUGGAGAUGGCCUCUACAACUUGGUCAAAAUCUUUGUUGUCAUUGCAAGAGAAAUCUGUAUUGUGCAAUUAAAAAAAGGUGAUCAGCCUGUUCAUGCUCUUCAAGAUAAUAAGAACUCUAGACAAUCAAGGGAUGAUGAGCUUCAGAUUGAGAUGUUCUUCAAAGAUAGGAUACCCACACGGUUUGCUGUUUCUGGUUACAUUGUACUUGCAGCAAUAUCCACCGCAGCUGUGCCCACCAUAUUUCCCCAGCUGAAGUGGUAUGUGCUUGUCUGCUACUUACUUGCUGAAGUGGUAUCUUGUGCUUGUCUGCUACUUACUUGGUCCGGCCAUUGCCUUCUGCAACUCCUACGGGAUGGGCCUCACAAACUUGAACCUUGCACCCACCUAUGGCAAGAUUGCCCUCUUUAUAUUCGCCUCGCUCGUCGGUAG
Molecule: ribosomal RNA, 1449 nt
Filed under: Triticum aestivum (bread wheat)
Lineage: Eukaryota; Viridiplantae; Streptophyta; Magnoliopsida; Poales; Poaceae
Description: partial small subunit ribosomal RNA
Source: RNAcentral